Molecule: ribosomal RNA, 550 nt
Filed under: Pseudomonas aeruginosa
Lineage: Bacteria; Pseudomonadati; Pseudomonadota; Gammaproteobacteria; Pseudomonadales; Pseudomonadaceae
Description: bacterial SSU rRNA
Rfam family: Bacterial small subunit ribosomal RNA
Source: RNAcentral
GCCUAGGAAUCUGCCUGGUAGUGGGGGAUAACGUCCGGGAAACGGGCGCUAAUACCGCAUACGUCCUGAGGGAGAAAGUGGGGGAUCUUCGGACCUCACGCUAUCAGAUGAGCCUAGGUCGGAUUAGCUAGUUGGUGGGGUAAAGGCCUACCAAGGCGACGAUCCGUAACUGGUCUGAGAGGAUGAUCAGUCACACUGGAACUGAGACACGGUCCAGACUCCUACGGGAGGCAGCAGUGGGGAAUAUUGGACAAUGGGCGAAAGCCUGAUCCAGCCAUGCCGCGUGUGUGAAGAAGGUCUUCGGAUUGUAAAGCACUUUAAGUUGGGAGGAAGGGCAGUAAGUUAAUACCUUGCUGUUUUGACGUUACCAACAGAAUAAGCACCGGCUAACUUCGUGCCAGCAGCCGCGGUAAUACGAAGGGUGCAAGCGUUAAUCGGAAUUACUGGGCGUAAAGCGCGCGUAGGUGGUUCAGCAAGUUGGAUGUGAAAUCCCCGGGCUCAACCUGGGAACUGCAUCCAAAACUACUGAGCUAGAGUACGGUAGAGGGUG